AUGCAGUCGAGCGGAUGAGUGGAGCUUGCUCCAUGAUUCAGCGGCGGACGGGUGAGUAAUGCCUAGGAAUCUGCCUGGUAGUGGGGGACAACGUUUCGAAAGGAACGCUAAUACCGCAUACGUCCUACGGGAGAAAGUGGGGGAUCUUCGGACCUCACGCUAUCAGAUGAGCCUAGGUCGGAUUAGCUAGUUGGUGAGGUAAAGGCUCACCAAGGCGACGAUCCGUAACUGGUCUGAGAGGAUGAUCAGUCACACUGGAACUGAGACACGGUCCAGACUCCUACGGGAGGCAGCAGUGGGGAAUAUUGGACAAUGGGCGAAAGCCUGAUCCAGCCAUGCCGCGUGUGUGAAGAAGGUCUUCGGAUUGUAAAGCACUUUAAGUUGGGAGGAAGGGCAGUAAGUUAAUACCUUGCUGUUUUGACGUUACCGACAGAAUAAGCACCGGCUAACUUCGUGCCAGCAGCCGCGGUAAUACGAAGGGUGCAAGCGUUAAUCGGAAUUACUGGGCGUAAAGCGCGCGUAGGUGGUUCGUUAAGUUGGAUGUGAAAGCCCCGGGCUCAACCUGGGAACUGCAUCCAAAA
Molecule: ribosomal RNA, 581 nt
Filed under: Stutzerimonas stutzeri
Lineage: Bacteria; Pseudomonadati; Pseudomonadota; Gammaproteobacteria; Pseudomonadales; Pseudomonadaceae
Description: bacterial SSU rRNA
Rfam family: Bacterial small subunit ribosomal RNA
Source: RNAcentral